Molecule: ribosomal RNA, 485 nt
Filed under: uncultured bacterium
Lineage: Bacteria
Description: partial 16S ribosomal RNA
Rfam family: Bacterial small subunit ribosomal RNA
Source: RNAcentral
AUUGAACGCUGGCGGCAUGCCUUACACAUGCAAGUCGAACGGCAGCACGGGUGCUUGCACCUGGUGGCGAGUGGCGAACGGGUGAGUAAUACAUCGGAACAUGUCCUGUAGUGGGGGAUAGCCCGGCGAAAGCCGGAUUAAUACCGCAUACGAUCUACGGAUGAAAGCGGGGGACCUUCGGGCCUCGCGCUAUAGGGUUGGCCGAUGGCUGAUUAGCUAGUUGGUGGGGUAAAGGCCUAACAAGGCGACGAUCAGUAGCUGGUCUGAGAGGACGACCAGCCACAAUGGGACUGAGAACCUGCCACGACCCCAACGGGCGGCAGCAGUGGGGAAUUUGGGAAAAAGGGGGAAAGCCUUAUCCAGCAAUGCCGGGUGUGUGAAGAAGGCCUGUGGGUUGUAAAGAACUUUUUUCCGAAAAAAAACCCUUGCCCCUAAUACGGGCGGGGGAUGACGGUACCGGAAGAAUAAGCCCCGGCUAACUACGU